Molecule: ribosomal RNA, 2438 nt
Filed under: Salmonella enterica subsp. enterica serovar Typhimurium str. DT104
Lineage: Bacteria; Pseudomonadati; Pseudomonadota; Gammaproteobacteria; Enterobacterales; Enterobacteriaceae
Description: bacterial LSU rRNA
Rfam family: Bacterial large subunit ribosomal RNA
Source: RNAcentral
GUGACUGCGUACCUUUUGUAUAAUGGGUCAGCGACUUAUAUUCUGUAGCAAGGUUAACCGAAUAGGGGAGCCGUAGGGAAACCGAGUCUUAAUUGGGCGUUAAGUUGCAGGGUAUAGACCCGAAACCCGGUGAUCUAGCCAUGGGCAGGUUGAAGGUUGGGUAACACUAACUGGAGGACCGAACCGACUAAUGUUGAAAAAUUAGCGGAUGACCUGUGGCUGGGGGUGAAAGGCCAAUCAAACCGGGAGAUAGCUGGUUCUCCCCGAAAGCUAUUUAGGUAGCGCCUCGUGAAUUCAUCUCCGGGGGUAGAGCACUGUUUCGGCUAGGGGGCCAUCCCGGCUUACCAACCCGAUGCAAACUGCGAAUACCGGAGAAUGUUAUCACGGGAGACACACGGCGGGUGCUAACGUCCGUCGUGAAGAGGGAAACAACCCAGACCGCCAGCUAAGGUCCCAAAGUCAUGGUUAAGUGGGAAACGAUGUGGGAAGGCCCAGACAGCCAGGAUGUUGGCUUAGAAGCAGCCAUCAUUUAAAGAAAGCGUAAUAGCUCACUGGUCGAGUCGGCCUGCGCGGAAGAUGUAACGGGGCUAAACCAUGCACCGAAGCUGCGGCAGCGAACGUAUCACCCAAGACAACUUUACGGAGUUGACGAUUGACGGAGCGAAGCGACGUCAAAGCGUUCAUUAAAGUCGAGUUGGCUUAGGGAUACGUUCGUUGGGUAGGGGAGCGUUCUGUAAGCCUGUGAAGGUGUGUCGUGAGGCAUGCUGGAGGUAUCAGAAGUGCGAAUGCUGACAUAAGUAACGAUAAAGCGGGUGAAAAGCCCGCUCGCCGGAAGACCAAGGGUUCCUGUCCAACGUUAAUCGGGGCAGGGUGAGUCGACCCCUAAGGCGAGGCCGAAAGGCGUAGUCGAUGGGAAACGGGUUAAUAUUCCCGUACUUGGUGUUACUGCGAAGGGGGGACGGAGAAGGCUAUGUUGGCCGGGCGACGGUUGUCCCGGUUUAAGCGUGUAGGUGUGUGUUCCAGGUAAAUCCGGUUCACUUUAACACUGAGGCGUGACGACGAGGCACUACGGUGCUGAAGCAACAAAUGCCCUGCUUCCAGGAAAAGCCUCUAAGCAUCAGGUAACAUCAAAUCGUACCCCAAACCGACACAGGUGGUCAGGUAGAGAAUACCAAGGCGCUUGAGAGAACUCGGGUGAAGGAACUAGGCAAAAUGGUGCCGUAACUUCGGGAGAAGGCACGCUGACACGUAGGUGAAGUGAUUUACUCAUGGAGCUGAAGUCAGUCGAAGAUACCAGCUGGCUGCAACUGUUUAUUAAAAACACAGCACUGUGCAAACACGAAAGUGGACGUAUACGGUGUGACGCCUGCCCGGUGCCGGAAGGUUAAUUGAUGGGGUCAGCGUAAGCGAAGCUCCUGAUCGAAGCCCCGGUAAACGGCGGCCGUAACUAUAACGGUCCUAAGGUAGCGAAAUUCCUUGUCGGGUAAGUUCCGACCUGCACGAAUGGCGUAAUGAUGGCCAGGCUGUCUCCACCCGAGACUCAGUGAAAUUGAACUCGCUGUGAAGAUGCAGUGUACCCGCGGCAAGACGGAAAGACCCCGUGAACCUUUACUAUAGCUUGACACUGAACAUUGAGCCUUGAUGUGUAGGAUAGGUGGGAGGCUUUGAAGUGUGGACGCCAGUCUGCAUGGAGCCGACCUUGAAAUACCACCCUUUAAUGUUUGAUGUUCUAACGUGGACCCGUAAUCCGGGUUGCGGACAGUGUCUGGUGGGUAGUUUGACUGGGGCGGUCUCCUCCUAAAGAGUAACGGAGGAGCACGAAGGUUGGCUAAUCCUGGUCGGACAUCAGGAGGUUAGUGCAAUGGCAUAAGCCAGCUUGACUGCGAGCGUGACGGCGCGAGCAGGUGCGAAAGCAGGUCAUAGUGAUCCGGUGGUUCUGAAUGGAAGGGCCAUCGCUCAACGGAUAAAAGGUACUCCGGGGAUAACAGGCUGAUACCGCCCAAGAGUUCAUAUCGACGGCGGUGUUUGGCACCUCGAUGUCGGCUCAUCACAUCCUGGGGCUGAAGUAGGUCCCAAGGGUAUGGCUGUUCGCCAUUUAAAGUGGUACGCGAGCUGGGUUUAGAACGUCGUGAGACAGUUCGGUCCCUAUCUGCCGUGGGCGCUGGAGAACUGAGGGGGGCUGCUCCUAGUACGAGAGGACCGGAGUGGACGCAUCACUGGUGUUCGGGUUGUCAUGCCAAUGGCACUGCCCGGUAGCUAAAUGCGGAAGAGAUAAGUGCUGAAAGCAUCUAAGCACGAAACUUGCCCCGAGAUGAGUUCUCCCUGAGACUUAGAGUCUCCUGAAGGAACGUUGAAGACGACGACGUUGAUAGGCCGGGUGUGUAAGCGCAGCGAUGCGUUGAGCUAACCGGUACUAAUGAACCGUGAGGCUUAACCUU